This is a long non-coding RNA of Cygnus olor (mute swan), 740 nucleotides long. RefSeq lists it as uncharacterized. The record is from RefSeq and is a predicted model, not a curated record. The transcript is spliced from 3 exons. Lineage: Eukaryota; Metazoa; Chordata; Aves; Anseriformes; Anatidae.
GAAUAAUAAAAGAAAAAUCUGCCCUUCCAAGCAAGGUAGUAGAUGCUCAGAUGGCUGCACCACACAGGAGGACUGACGUGCGUUUGGGCUGUGUUCAGAAUCAGCAGAGAAAUUCUCGUGAAAACAAUGGACAGCAAUCAAAAUCAAAACAGAAGCCAACCCUAACCCAGGCACGCUUUCAUUCUAAAAGAUUUUCUUUGGAGCUGGAAUCCGACUCCAUUUGCUUGUCUGAAAUUAAUGGCUUUACUCAUUUCAGAGGAAACUGUCUAGUCGUGAUCAGAGGGGGAUUGAUUGUUUGACUGAGUGUCACUGGAAAUGUCAUAAACAUGAAAACGACUUGCUUUAAAUUUCAAGCAACAGGUCUUGCCAGUGGGAAUCCAACCCAGUCAUGCAGUAGGUGGCUGCUGGAUAUCACUCCAACGUGUUGUGUUUCGUACUUGUAGUUUCCAGCAAAUGGGAAAGGUUGUGAGAAACAAGUUUCUCUGCUGUAGUGGCUGGUGGAUACUCUUAUAGAGUGUGUUGCCUUGUGCUGAUAGAUUUCUUUAAUUAAGUCUGUUCCAGAAUGUAGUAGGAUUUAUAACAUUUUCAAAUAUUCAUAACCACUGUAGGAUCUGACUUAGCAGAGAAAUUAAUGUUUCAUGGUUUUGACCUCAGAGGAUGUACAGACUUCACAGGUUGGCUAUUGCAGAGCUUAAGUUUGAUUCCGGAUCCAAAAUAAAAUUUUGGCUAGUCUGCAGCCA